RNAcentral lists this ribosomal RNA (432 nucleotides) under uncultured bacterium. RNAcentral describes it as "partial 16S ribosomal RNA". It matches the Rfam family "Bacterial small subunit ribosomal RNA", at positions 29 to 506 of the family's 1533-position model. The record is from RNAcentral.
AACGAACGCUGGCGGCAUGCCUAACACAUGCAAGUCGAACGAGACCUUCGGGUCUAGUGGCGCACGGGUGCGUAACGCGUGGGAACCUGCCCUUAGGUUCGGAAUAACUCCCCGAAAGGGGUGCUAAUACCGGAUAAUGUCUUCGGACCAAAGAUUUAUCGCCUUUGGAUGGGCCCGCGUUGGAUUAGCUAGUUGGUAGGGUAAAAGCCUACCAAGGCGACGAUCCAUAGCUGGUCUGAGAGGAUGAUCAGCCACACUGGGACUGAGACACGGCCCAGACUCCUACGGGAGGCAGCAGGGGGGAAUAUUGGACAAUGGGCGAAAGCCUGCUCCAGCACUGCCGGGGGGGUGAUGAAGGCCUUGGGGUUGUAAAGCUCUUUUACCCGGGAUGAUAAUGACAGUACCGGGAGAAUAAGCCCCGGCUACCUCCGU